RNAcentral lists this ribosomal RNA (724 nucleotides) under uncultured Bacilli bacterium. RNAcentral's name for it is "bacterial SSU rRNA". It matches the Rfam family "Bacterial small subunit ribosomal RNA", at positions 52 to 748 of the family's 1533-position model. The record is from RNAcentral. Lineage: Bacteria; Bacillati; Bacillota; Bacilli.
UACAUGCAAGUCGAACGCUUUUUCUUUCACCGGAGCUUGCUCCACCGAAAGAAAAGGAGUGGCGAACGGGUGAGUAACACGUGGGUAACCUGCCCAUCAGAAGGGGAUAACACUUGGAAACAGGUGCUAAUACCGUAUAACAAUCGAAACCGCAUGGUUUCGGUUUGAAAGGCGCUUUUGCGUCACUGAUGGAUGGACCCGCGGUGCAUUAGCUAGUUGGUGAGGUAACGGCUCACCAAGGCAACGAUGCAUAGCCGACCUGAGAGGGUGAUCGGCCACAUUGGGACUGAGACACGGCCCAAACUCCUACGGGAGGCAGCAGUAGGGAAUCUUCGGCAAUGGACGGAAGUCUGACCGAGCAACGCCGCGUGAGUGAAGAAGGUUUUCGGAUCGUAAAACUCUGUUGUUAGAGAAGAACAAGGAUGAGAGUAGAAUGUUCAUCCCUUGACGGUAUCUAACCAGAAAGCCACGGCUAACUACGUGCCAGCAGCCGCGGUAAUACGUAGGUGGCAAGCGUUGUCCGGAUUUAUUGGGCGUAAAGCGAGCGCAGGCGGUUUCUUAAGUCUGAUGUGAAAGCCCCCGGCUCAACCGGGGAGGGUCAUUGGAAACUGGGAAACUUGAGUGCAGAAGAGGAGAGUGGAAUUCCAUGUGUAGCGGUGAAAUGCGUAGAUAUAUGGAGGAACACCAGUGGCGAAGGCGGCUCUCUGGUCUGUAACUGACGCUG